Small nucleolar RNA from Jaculus jaculus (lesser Egyptian jerboa), 131 nucleotides. The record is from Ensembl. Lineage: Eukaryota; Metazoa; Chordata; Mammalia; Rodentia; Dipodidae.
GAGCCAGCCAAUGAAUCUGCUUAUCUGAAUGUGUUUCUGCAGAAAUUUAGACACAGCUGGCAAUGGUGAUAUCAUGUUACAAACCUUAAGGACAAUGGAGGUCAUUACAGUCCCUCAAAAUGGCUACAAUA